AAAUUGAAGAGUUUGAUCAUGGCUCAGAUUGAACGCUGGCGGCAGGCCUAACACAUGCAAGUUGAGCGGAAACGAGUUAUC
Molecule: ribosomal RNA, 81 nt
Filed under: Vibrio parahaemolyticus
Lineage: Bacteria; Pseudomonadati; Pseudomonadota; Gammaproteobacteria; Vibrionales; Vibrionaceae
Description: partial 16S ribosomal RNA
Rfam family: Bacterial small subunit ribosomal RNA
Source: RNAcentral